UGAGGAAUAUUGGUCAAUGGGCGCAAGCCUGAACCAGCCAUGCCGCGUGCAGGAUGACGGUCCUAUGGAUUGUAAACUGCUUUUGUACAGGAAGAAACAGUUCUACGUGUAGAACCUUGACGGUACUGUAAGAAUAAGGAUCGGCUAACUCCGUGCCAGCAGCCGCGGUAAUACGGAGGAUCCAAGCGUUAUCCGGAAUCAUUGGGUUUAAAGGGUCCGUAGGCGGUUUUGUAAGUCAGUGGUGAAAGCCCAUCGCUCAACGGUGGAACGGCCAUUGAUACUGCAAGACUUGAAUUAUUAGGAAGUAACUAGAAUAUGUAGUGUAGCGGUGAAAUGCUUAGAGAUUACAUGGAAUACCAAUUGCGAAGGCAGGUUACUACUAAUGGAUUGACGCUGAUGGACGAAAGCGUGGGGAGCGAACA
This 422-nucleotide ribosomal RNA is filed under the name uncultured Flavobacterium sp. RNAcentral's name for it is "bacterial SSU rRNA". It matches the Rfam family "Bacterial small subunit ribosomal RNA", at positions 355 to 774 of the family's 1533-position model. The record is from RNAcentral. Lineage: Bacteria; Pseudomonadati; Bacteroidota; Flavobacteriia; Flavobacteriales; Flavobacteriaceae.